GGUGAGGAGUGCGGCUGUACAGUU
RNAcentral lists this non-coding RNA (24 nucleotides) under Arabidopsis thaliana (thale cress). The record is from RNAcentral. Lineage: Eukaryota; Viridiplantae; Streptophyta; Magnoliopsida; Brassicales; Brassicaceae.